Molecule: unclassified non-coding RNA, 338 nt
Filed under: soil metagenome
Description: partial contains 5.8S ribosomal RNA, internal transcribed spacer 2, and large subunit ribosomal RNA
Rfam family: 5.8S ribosomal RNA (bases 1-120)
Source: RNAcentral
GAUGAAGAACGCAGCGAAAUGCGAUAAGUAAUGUGAAUUGCAGAAUUCAGUGAAUCAUCGAAUCUUUGAACGCACAUUGCGCCCAUUAGUAUUCUAGUGGGCAUGCCUGUUCGAGCGUCAUUUCAACCCUUAAGCCUCUGUUGCUUAGCGUUGGGAGCCUACCUACCCGGUAGAUCCUCAAAGUUAGCUGGCAGGGUCGAGGUUCGCCCUAAGCGUAGUAGUUCUUUCUCGCUUCUGCGGCUGCCUAGGCCAUCGCCACAAGCCUUUUAAACUUCGAUGGUUGACCUCGGAUCAGGUAGGAAUACCCGCUGAACUUAAGCAUAUCAAUAAGCGGAGGA